AGGGAAACCGAGUCUUAACUGGGCGUUAAGUUGCAGGGUAUAGACCCGAAACCCGGUGAUCUAGCCAUGGGCAGGUUGAAGGUUGGGUAACACUAACUGGAGGACCGAACCGACUAAUGUUGAAAAAUUAGCGGAUGACUUGUGGCUGGGGGUGAAAGGCCAAUCAAACCGGGAGAUAGCUGGUUCUCCCCGAAAGCUAUUUAGGUAGCGCCUCGUGAACUCAUCUUCGGGGGUAGAGCACUGUUUCGGCUAGGGGGUCAUCCCGACUUACCAACCCGAUGCAAACUGCGAAUACCGAAGAAUGUUAUCACGGGAGACACACGGCGGGUGCUAACGUCCGUCGUGAAGAGGGAAACAACCCAGACCGCCAGCUAAGGUCCCAAAGUCACAGUUAAGUGGGAAACGAUGUGGGAAGGCUCAGACAGCCAGGAUGUUGGCUUAGAAGCAGCCAUCAUUUAAAGAAAGCGUAAUAGCUCACUGGUCGAGUCGGCCUGCGCGGAAGAUGUAACGGGGCUAAACUGUGCACCGAAGCUGCGGCAGCGACGCUUAUGCGUUGUUGGGUAGGGGAGCGUUCUGUAAGCCUGCGAAGGUGUCCUGUGAGGGAUGCUGGAGGUAUCAGAAGUGCGAAUGCUGACAUAAGUAACGAUAAUGCGGGUGAAAAGCCCGCUCGCCGGAAGACCAAGGGUUCCUGUCCAACGUUAAUCGGGGCAGGGUGAGUCGACCCCUAAGGCGAGGCCGAAAGGCGUAGUCGAUGGGAAACGGGUUAAUAUUCCCGUACUUGGUGUUACUGCGAAGGGGGGACGGAGAAGGCUAUGUUGGCCGGGCGACGGUUGUCCCGGUUUAAGCGUGUAGGCUGGUUUUCCAGGCAAAUCCGGAAAAUCAAGGCUGAGGCGUGAUGACGAGGCACUAC
RNAcentral lists this ribosomal RNA (910 nucleotides) under Salmonella enterica subsp. enterica serovar Kentucky. RNAcentral describes it as "partial 23S ribosomal RNA". It matches the Rfam family "Bacterial large subunit ribosomal RNA", at positions 670 to 1580 of the family's 2925-position model. The record is from RNAcentral. Lineage: Bacteria; Pseudomonadati; Pseudomonadota; Gammaproteobacteria; Enterobacterales; Enterobacteriaceae.